RNAcentral lists this long non-coding RNA (858 nucleotides) under Gallus gallus (chicken). RNAcentral's name for it is "lncRNA (ENSGALG00010018878.1)". The record is from RNAcentral. Lineage: Eukaryota; Metazoa; Chordata; Aves; Galliformes; Phasianidae.
AGUGUUUCCUGAAUGAAGGCUGCUGCUUGAGAAGGUGUGUUCUGUAACCUGAGACCCUAUCGCCAGUUGGUGCGAGUACCCUAAUCCUGGAUGCUGAGCAGAUUCAUUCAGUUUCUCAAAGAGGAAAAUUAUUGUGUGGAGGAACUGAUUUCUCAGUUUAUCAGUUGUUUAACUCAACAGAAAUUGUAAAGAGCCAUGGGGAUAAUCUUAGGUGUCUGAGGAUUUGUAUCUACAGUUCUAUGUAAAGCAGAUACUCUAAUAUCCCCAAAAGCCAUGCUGACUUCUACAGCGUUCUAUGUGACUCCACCAUCAGUUGUGUUGGGCUGAAUGUUGCUGUGCAGCAGGACGUAGCUACUAUGUUGUCACUGCUCGCAGGUUUAAUGUCCUCUACAAUAAGGAAAGGUCAAAACUCCAAGCCAACUAUUCAGAUUAAAAAUAAUGCAGUAACAUCAAAUGGAAGCUGGUAAUUCACAGUACUUUGGCAAUUAAGAUGAGGGUGAUCUACCCAGAUAAACAUAUUGUACAAGUUCUUAUUUGCAAAAAUAUUUAAAUGCCAAAUAUCCCCUCUUCUUCAAAUAUUUUUUCUUUCAAACUUCUUAUCAUUCUUGCUACUCUCUCUCAUUCUACAUAUUUGGAUACAUUGCUCAAAAAUGGAUACAUUAAUCAUCACUGCUGAUUGCUCUUCCUGCGUUUAUGUAGAUAUUUCUCAGAGACUGAGAGAAUCUCAUUAACUCUCAUUCACUUUGUGACCCAUUGUCACCUCCGUCAGUUCUUUCUCUACUAGAAUGCUGCCUAAGAAGUUGUUUUCUUUAUUUUGUAUAUAUCAUUUAUUUUACUUGAAUGAAUGCAUGUCACAAC